RNAcentral lists this ribosomal RNA (253 nucleotides) under uncultured prokaryote. RNAcentral describes it as "partial 16S ribosomal RNA". It matches the Rfam family "Bacterial small subunit ribosomal RNA", at positions 524 to 776 of the family's 1533-position model. The record is from RNAcentral.
GACAGAGGCCUCAAGCGUUAGGCGGAAUCACUGGGCUUAAAGCGUGUGUAGGCGGACAUUUAAGUACCUUGUGAAAUCCCACGGCUCAACCGUGGAACUGCUCGGUAUACUGGAUGUCUUGAGCCACUUAGGGGCGACCGGAACAAACGGUGGAGCGGUGAAAUGCGUAGAUAUCGUUUGGAACGCCAAUGGUGAAAACAGGUCGCUGGGAGUGUGCUGACGCUGAGACACGAAAGCCAGGGGAGCAAACGGG